Molecule: long non-coding RNA, 5100 nt
Organism: Gopherus flavomarginatus (Mexican gopher tortoise)
Lineage: Eukaryota; Metazoa; Chordata; Testudines; Testudinidae
Exons: 4
Source: RefSeq, a predicted model, not a curated record
GCAAACCACAGGAUGGCUUUGGCUGUGACCAAGUGAGAGCUGGGAAAAGUCCAGCUCCUCAAUUUUGCUUUUCCUCCCUGGCAUUUUUAGAUCAAUUCCAGGAAAAGCCCAUACAAGUAUUCUUUGUUAUGCAUAGAAGAGAGGCAUGUCUUGGGACUCUAAAAGGGCUAGCAAAGGAGAUGUUUAACAAGGAUUAGUUCAGCAUUCAGAAAAAAAACAAUCUUGUCAUUCCUUUUCUGUGGCUAAGCUCUGUCCACCUAAAGUGCAACAGCUGACCAUCUUUCUACUUCCUAUUGAGAGAACAGAUGCAACUAUAAACACAGUGCUUGCUCUAAAAGUUCUAGCACCUAAUCCACUGAAUGGUCUGCAUCGCCUUCUCAUUGGAGGCUGAGAACGGCUGACUGGGUAGGAAAAACUGACCUGAAAAGCUAUGUUCAGCACUAGUUCACAUAAGUGGGUUAAGAUCAUAACAUACCUAAAAGAAAAGAGCAGCCUUUAUUAGGAGUUAUAGAACUCCAGCUAUGUCUACACGUUAGUAAAAGACUCACAGCACAUCUGUGGCUGGCCCACAGGUCAGCUGAGUCGGGCUUGCAGGGCCCAGGCUGUGGGGCUAAAAAUUGCAGUGUAUUUGUAUCCUGAGACUACUUAACCUAUUGCUGAACUCUGGGACAGAUUCACUGAAGCAUAAUUGCUCUUAAUGCAAAAUGGUUACACUUGCAAAGAUGAGAGCAUCGCUCCUGGGCUUUUUUACUUUAAUAUAUUUUAAGCCCUUAUAGUAUUUUUCUCCUGUGUAAGACCAAACAAAACUUUUCCAGUUUUAGAGUAAAAAUAGCCCCCUUGUUUUACUUCCUUGUCCUGUCAGGCUCUCUCUGAGCAGAGUAGUUUCCGUCCUUGUCUUUUUGAUCUGGCAGUUUCUGUUCGCAUCUCUCAAUCUUACUGUUAGGCCAGUCUGCAAGCUUCUUUGGAUUCUCUGGAAUUCAGAAGGCUACUCAUGGUCCAAGAUCACAACUAGGACCCAGUUGUGACACAGGUAGUUGUGUUAUUUCCACCUUUUUGUUUUUUAAAUGGAUUAAAUCUAUACAGUGACUCAGAGUUGUGUUAGGCCUGGUCUACACUUGGGGGGGGGGGGGGAAUCGAUCUAAGAUACGCAACUUCAGCUACGAGAAUAGCGUAGCUGAAGUUGACGUAUCUUAGAUCAACUUUCUUCAUGGCGCAGGAUUGAUGGCCACGGCUCCCCCUUUGACUCCGUUUCCGCCUCUCGCCCUGGUGGAGUUCCAGAGUUGAUGGGGAGCGCAUUCGGUGAUUGAUUUAUUGCGUCUAGACAAGUCGUGAUAAAUCGAUCCCUGAUAGAUCGAUCGCUACCUGCUGAUCCGGCAGGUAGUCUGGAUGUACCCCUAUAUGUUUGACACAGAUCUCUUCAGUGGAAUCCAGAAUUGACAAUGCAAUUCUGGACACUUUGGUUUAUCUGAUAGUUGACUGCAUCUGAGCAGGACAAUUUUUAAAGUGUGCUACUUAGGAUAUUUAAAAAUUUUGCUAAAUAAAAGAAUAUUACCAAAAAUGUAUAGAUAGUACAAUAGUAUACAAAUAUAAUUUCAUUUAGAUAAUGCUAUCAGGCAGAGCCUGUUGGCAGCAAUGUUCUACGGGACAUCAUUAGCAUACUUUAUGACUCGCAUCAUCCUGAACUAGGAUGUCUGGAGCUGUUAUGAAUUAGUAUGAAAUCUGCUGUUUAAUAAAUGCUUUAUACUGCUUGUUUAGCAAUAUUCAGCAUCAGACUGUAAAGUUUCUCAUUAUGUGAGUCACCUGUAAGAUCAUAUUCCUCCAGAUGUCUUGAAUGAACAUUUCUGUUUAGAAAACACCUGCAACUUGUUAAAGCUGCUGCACUCAUUCAUCUGAAAUGUAACCUCAGAACAGUUCCUACCCCUGUGCUUUCUUAGCCAUGCAAUGUCUUUAAUUUUCUUCCUGUUUGUGUUUUUUUAAUUACGUUGUGUCCCUACAGCCCAAAGCAUGUAAAUUAAUUUAAAUUAAUUGGAGUUAAGAAUCUGGCUUUAAAUUCUAUCUAAACAGAGUUCUUAUUAAAUCUGUUUCCAACUGCUUGACCAGCCAGUGUGGACAAACUGGUAGAAAUACAGGCUGGCCACAUUAUGUCCAAUAUUGUCCAGCCAAGUGGUGUCAGAAAAGCGUUCUGUUGGCUCCCUUCUUAUGCACUGUUUCCAAACUCUGUUACUAGCCCCUUUGAGAGAAGCCCAUGCUGCAAAGAAAUAUACAGAACAGCUUGGUGUCCAGUGGUACAACUGCAAGGACAGAGUUGUGCAUAAUACAAACUUGAGGGGAGGUUUUUUCUUCAAGUGAUGCAUAAUUAACCUAUCAAAUGCCUGAAGUACUGUAUUAAAGCUUCAUCCUCCUUGUGCCCACUGGAUGGGCAUUCUUGCAAAUCCUGCCCUUUCCUUGUGUUGCCUCUGAUGUGGGACUUGACAGAUGUCUAUUCACUGUGGACACUUCCUGGGCUUUUCAUCGGCAGCCUCCAUUUUACUGAGAGAAGGAGAAAUAUCACUGAAAAUCAUUAGACAAAUACCUGUCAAGUAUAACCUAGGAAUAUUUGGCCCCCAGUGCAGUGGGGUGGACUAGAUGACCUCUCGAGGUCUCUUUCAGACCGGCAUUUCUAUCAUGAAUUAGGAAAUACAUAUGUGCUGCUGGAUCACUUAAUCAACUAAAUAUUGACCUCUUUUGCUGGGACGGGGAAGGCUUCUUCUACAUAUGAUGAAGUCUCCCAUUGAGUUUGUGGGUCCUGUGAUGAGACCAAAGACUGAUUUUGGACCCUGCAGCCUCCUCCACAAGUGCCACAUGUAAAGACAAUUGUAAAUGAAUUAGUGCUAUUUUUAGCUUGUUACAUCUCGCACGUCUCUCCUUGAUUGCAGAAAUCCACAAGCUCUCAAAAUCUUCCAGUCUGAGGUGUGGCAGGGCUGCUGCUGUCAGAUCUUGUCAUGGGGGAAGAGCUCCCAGGUGCUGUGGUCACAUUGUAAGAUUGGAGGUUGGUCUUCAGUGUGUUUUUUUGUAACAUUUUCUUGGUCUGCCCCAAAACAAGUUCCAGUCUGCAGUUUUCUAUAAAAAUGGAAUGUCUGAUGAACUGUAGCAGUUAGAGAUAGAAAAGAUCUAUUGGGUCACCUAGUCAAAUUUUCCUGCCACUGCAGGAUUGUCAGUUGCUUGUGUUGUAGUCUAUUUUGAAAUGUUCCAAGGGGUAGAAUUGCCAUCACUUCCUUUAGAGAAUAUUUCACAGCCUGAUAGAUGUUACUGUUGGGAAGCUUUUCCUGACAUUUGACCUAAAAUGGUUGGGGAGGUGGGGGUUGGAAUCCUUUUACUCCUAUUCCUUAGUUAUUUCAUUCGUUAUCCUCCCUUGAGCACAGAGGACUGGAUUAGAUGACCUAUUGAGGUCUCUUCUAAUCCUACACUUCUAUGAUUCCCCCAUAUAUUAUCUUCAACUUCUCUCCCUUCUUAGCUGCUUGUACCUUUCUCAUUUUUUACUAUUCUAUCCCCCACAAAGCUGUUUCUUAGCCAAUCCAGUACUUGGUUAAUUCUUAAUCUUUUCCAGUAAAUCAGUCCCUCCAGGACCUUUCUGUUAUCUGCAGUUACUUUGAUAAUGAGGUGCGUGGUAUUUAAUUCUAUAUAACAGGUGUGGUCACAUCUGUACUUGUUUUUGUGAAGUGCCUUGCACAUCUGGGUGUUCAAAAAUAGAUACAUACCCAGAGCUAGAGAAAACGCACUCUGUUUUGUGGCAGUAUGUAUGUAUAUGCAGCCCCAAAAUUGUUGGCUGCUGUCGUCUUUUUUUUAUAUUGCAAUUUAGACUUCAGUUUGCAGUGUGCCAUUGCCCUUAAACCAUUUAGUGUCAUUUUCCCCAUAUUGAAUAUGACGUUGAUAAAUUUUACCCAAAUGAUGGUAACAUGUCCAAGUUGCAUCUCAUUUUUUCUAAUCUUUAGGUCCAGGUCCGUUUUUAUUUGCUCACAGAUUUUUGCCACUCCUCCAAAUGUACUAUCCCUUCAAAUUAUACUUGUAAAUUAAUGAAAAUAUUAAAUAAGAGUGGACGUAUAAUCAACCCCUCAUGGAUAGCUCUGUUAGAAUGUUCAGUUGUUACUGGAGGAGAGGAGAGUGACACCGUAUUUUUUGGGCUGCAUUUGGGGGUAAAAAUGCAUAGGUUGAGUACUUAAAACAUUUUAACAUAUUCCUGCUGUGUCGUGUCUUCAGUUUGAACAUGAUUAAGGCUACAUUGUAGUCACAGGUAUUUUUAGUAAAAGUCAUGGACAGGUCACAGGCAAUAAACAAAAAUUCAUGGUCCAUGACUUGUAUUAUAUACCCUUGACUGAAUCUUGGCCGGGGAGGGUGUGGGGGGUGGGAUGGGCAGUAGCCCAGGACCCCCACUAGUGCUAGGGGGGAGGGAUGUUGGUGGGGGCUGCCUGGCUCCACAACUCCCUGGAAAUGGUGACAUUCCCCCUCCCAGUGCUUCUAGGCAGGGGCGUAGCCAGGCAGCUCUCUGUACUGCCUCCACAGCUCCCAUUGGCUGUGAACUGUGGCCAAUGGGAGCUGCAGGGACGGAGCCAGCAUGCAGAGUCCCUUGGCUGUGCCUGUGCCUAGGAGCAGAGGGUGUCACCACUUCCGGGGAGCCCUCCUGAGAUGAGACUAUGCCAAAAAAAAAAAAAAAGACUUGAGAGAAAGGAGAUGGUGCCUUGUGCAACAGUAACUUCUUAUAUCUACAGUGACUUCCAUCUGGAGGCUGUCAAGUCCUUUACGCCUGAGACAUUGAUGAAGAGCUGAGGCCCAGACUGAUGAAGUGACUUGCCCAACAUCACAUAAUGAGCACCUGAUGGACAAGACUUUCUUCCCAAUCAACACAGACCCUAUGCAUCUGUCCAUCAGUUGAAGAAUAUAAUUAAUUCCAUCUCUGCACCAGUACCCACUGGUGGAUCGGAAGAAUCUGUGGACUACUGAUACAGUUGGAGCUGUGCUAACAAUACUUUUGGCUUUGAACUUCCAGAUGCUACUUUUGUGUGGAGUGAACGUGCAGCCUUCAUUCGACUUACUUGAUUAAACAUAAUUUACAUUUCUCUGGAA